UCUUCGGACCAAACUGGGGGAGCGUGGGAACCUGGCGGGUAGUAGUCAAGCGAUGGGGUGACGCAGGAAGGUAGCUGAGCCCGGCCGGUGGUUGUGCCGGGGUAAGCGUGUAGGCCGUGUUGUAGGCAAAUCCGCAACACAUGAAGGCUGAGACGUGAUGCCGAGCCGAUUCAGGUGAAGUCAGUGAUCCUAUGCUGCCGAGAAAAGCCUCUAGCGAGUUCUUAGCGGCCCGUACCCCAAACCGACACAGGUGGUCAGGUAGAGAAUACCGAGGCGAUCGGGCGAACUGUGGUUAAGGAACUCGGCAAAUUGCCCCCGUAACUUAGGGAGAAGGGGGGCCGGAGACGUGAAGCCCCACGCGGGUGGAGCGUUGUAUGGCCGCAGAGAGCAGGGGGAAGCGACUGUUUACUAAAAACACAGGUCCAUGCGAAGAAGUAAUUCGAUGUAUAUGGACUGACGCCUGCCCGGUGCUGGAACGUUAAGGGGACCUGUUAGCUCUUCGGGGCGAAGCGGAGAACUUAAGCGCCAGUAAACGGCGGUGGUAACUAUAACCAUCCUAAGGUAGCGAAAUUCCUUGUCGGGUAAGUUCCGACCUGCACGAAUGGCGUAACGACUUCCCCACUGUCUCAACCACAGGCCCGGCGAAAUUGCAUUACGAGUAAAGAUGCUCGUUACGCGCGGCAGGACGGAAAGACCCCGGGACCUUUACUAUAGCUUGACAUUGGUAUCCGAAUUAGCUUGUGUAGGAUAGGUGGGAGCCGGUGAAGUCCAUACGCCAGUAUGGGUGGAGGCAAUCUUGAAAUACCACUCUGGUUGAUUUGGGUAUCUAACUUCGGACCGUUAUCCGGUUCAGGGACAGUGUCUGGUGGGUAGUUUAACUGGGGCGGUUGCCUCCUAAAGGGUAACGGAGGCGCCCAAAGGUUCCCUCAGCCUGGUUGGCAAUCAGGUGUUGAGUGCAAGUACACAAGGGAGCUUGACUGUGAGACUGACAGGUCGAGCAGGGACGAAAGUCGGGACUAGUGAUCCGGCACUUGCGAGUGGAAGCGGUGUCGCUCAACGGAUAAAAGGUACCCCGGGGAUAACAGGCUGAUCUUCCCCAAGAGUCCAUAUCGACGGGAUGGUUUGGCACCUCGAUGUCGGCUCGUCGCAUCCUGGGGCUGUAGCAGGUCCCAAGGGUUGGGCUGUUCGCCCAUUAAAGCGGUACGCGAGCUGGGUUUAGAACGUCGUGAGACAGUUCGGUCCCUAUCCGCCGUGCGCGUAGGAUACUUGAGAAGGGCUGUCCCUAGUACGAGAGGACCGGGACGGACGAACCUCUGGUGUGCCAGUUGUCCCGCCAGGGGCACGGCUGGUUAGCUACGUUCGGAAGGGAUAACCGCUGAAAGCAUCUAAGCGGGAAGCUCGCUUCAAGAUGAGGUAUCCCACCCACCUUGGUGGGGUAAGGCCCCCAGCUAGACGACUGGGUUGAUAGGCCGGAAAUGUAAGCCCGGUAACGGGUUCAGUUGACCGGUACUAAUAGGCCGAGGACUUGACUAC
Molecule: ribosomal RNA, 1533 nt
Filed under: Micromonospora sp. M71_S20
Lineage: Bacteria; Bacillati; Actinomycetota; Actinomycetes; Micromonosporales; Micromonosporaceae
Description: bacterial LSU rRNA
Rfam family: Bacterial large subunit ribosomal RNA
Source: RNAcentral